CAGCCAAAUGGGCUUUCCUCUGGGCUUGAUGUGAACUGAAGUAUUAACACAUUUGACUCAUUCCUCACUUGGGUUAAGUAAUACAAGGAGCCUGGCUAGAUCACCUGGACAUCCUGGGUUUUCAGUUGUCAUCCAUGGGAAAAGGAAAACCUAGCAACUCAUCUCUGUGCUCAGUUUGUUACACCCUCAACUUUCAUCUGCUCAGAUUUAAAUCUCUUCAGUGGAGAAAUACGUUAUUCCUAAAUACCUUGCUCUUUUGAAGAUGGUUGACCUAUCUUGGUUGCUUCCUUCUGACUUCUAGCUAGCUGCACCACUUACAUCUACAUAUUAAGGCCACAAAGGACUCUCAUGAUUAUCAAAGGCCAGAGGUUGGCAGCCUGCAGCCCAUGGACCAGAUCUAGCCCAGAGUGGCAUUUGGCGGCCAGAAGAAAGGCAUUUUGUGUGGGAAACUUUGUCUAACAUCUCUCCUAGCUAUACAUUGGGCCAACAAAGGGUAUUGUUUUAUCUCACCAACCUUGAUCCUUGUGUUUCCUGGACCAUCACAGCUACAGCAGCACUACAACGCUGCUGCAUGUUGACGAGCAGUCCAGUCCAUCCGAACAUUUACAGCCAGGUGGCUCUGAUGCUCCUCGCACUUCCAGUAUGUAAAACUAGAAGUCAUUCAUCCGAA
Molecule: long non-coding RNA, 670 nt
Organism: Gavialis gangeticus (Gharial)
Lineage: Eukaryota; Metazoa; Chordata; Crocodylia; Gavialidae
Exons: 3
Source: RefSeq, a predicted model, not a curated record